GAUGAACGCUGGCGGCGUGCUUAACACAUGCAAGUCGAACGGUGAAGGCGGAGCUUGCUCUGCUGGAUCAGUGGCGAACGGGUGAGUAACACGUGAGCAAUCUGCCCCUGACUCUGGGAUAAGCGCUGGAAACGGCGUCUAAUACUGGAUACGAGCUGCGAAGGCAUCUUCAGCAGCUGGAAAGAACUUCGGUCAGGGAUGAGCUCGCGGCCUAUCAGCUUGUUGGUGAGGUAACGGCUGACCAAGGCGUCGACGGGUAGCCGGCCUGAGAGGGUGACCGGCCACACUGGGACUGAGACACGGCCCAGACUCCUACGGGAGGCAGCAGUGGGGAAUAUUGCACAAUGGGCGAAAGCCUGAUGCAGCAACGCCGCGUGGGGGACGACGGCCUUCGGGUUGUAAACCUCUUUUAGCAGGGAAGAAGCGAAAGUGACGGUACCUGCAGAAAAAGCGCCGGCUAACUACGUG
This 468-nucleotide ribosomal RNA is filed under the name uncultured bacterium. Its description in RNAcentral is "partial 16S ribosomal RNA". It matches the Rfam family "Bacterial small subunit ribosomal RNA", at positions 28 to 507 of the family's 1533-position model. The record is from RNAcentral.